CUUUAUGAAUUUCUAUUUAGAAUUAGGAUUACUUUUAUUUUUGUCAAGCUGCAAAUCUCACUGCCAUACAUGUCGACAUGACAUCUAAUUUUGGGAGACAGUUUUCUUUUGUUUUGUUUCAGAUUGGGGGGAGGGGGUGGGGUGGUAAAAAUGCGAUGAGUGUUAUAACACGUCUGCAGGUAUUCUUUCCUUCAUUUUGGCCAUUGAAAGCCGGACGUGACAAAAACUAUACAGAUAUAGAAUGUGUAUAUAUUUAAAAGUCAUACGUUCAAGUCUGGUUGUCUAGACUCUGUUUCUAUUGAUGAGAAGAAUUUUUAAUUUAAAAAGUGUAUUCAUAUUUCUAAAUUCCACAUCAAAGUUUGACUUCAAACAAGUUUUUAAUUUAAAACGUACUUUUAAAAAAGAGAAAAGAAAAAAAAAUAUUGUAGUCAUUUACAAGAGUCAGAAGUUAAAAGGUAAAGAUAGUGUGGUCAUUUACAAGAGUCAGAAGUUAAAAGGUAAAGAUAGUGUGGUCAUUUACAAGAGUCAGAAGUUAAAAGGUAAAGAUAGUGUGGUCAUUUACAAAUAGUCAGAAGUUAAAAGGUAAAGAUAGUGUGGUCAUUUACAAAGAGUCAGAAGUUCAAAGGUAAAGAUAGUGUGGUCAUUUACAAGAGUCAGAAGUUAAAAGGUAAAGAUAGUGUGGUCAUUUACAAGAGUCAGAAGUUAAAAGGUAAAGAUAGUGUGGUCAUUUACAAAGAGUCAAAAGUUAAAAGGUAAAGAUAGUGUGGUCAUUUACAAGAGUCAAAAGUUAAAAUGUAAAGAUAGUGUGGUCAUUUACAAGAGUCAAAAGUUAAAAGGUAAAGAUAGUGUGGUCAUUUACAAGAGUCAGAAGUUAAAAUGUAAAGAUAGUGUGGUCAUUUACAAGAGUCAAAAGUUAAAAGGUAAAGAUAGUGUGGUCAUUUACAAGAGUCAGAAGUUAAAAGGUAAAGAUAGCGUGGUCAUUUACAAGAGUCAGAAGUUAAAAGGUAAAGAUAGCGUGGUCAUUUACAAGAGUCAGAAGUUAAAAGGUAGUGUGGUCAUUUACAAGAGUCAGAAGUUCAAAGGUAAAGAUAGUGUGGUCAUUUACAAGAGUCAGAAGUUAAAAGGUAGCGUGGUCAUUUACAAGAGUCAGAAGUUAAAAGGUAAAGAUAGUGUGGUCAUUUACAAGAGUCAGAAGUUCAAAGGUAAAGAUAGUGAUGUCAUUUACAAAGAGUCAGAAGUUCAAAGGUAAAGAUAGUGUGGUCAUUUACAAAGAGUCAGAAGUUAAAAGGUAAAGAUAGUGUGGUCAUUUACAAAGAGUCAGAAGUUAAAAGGUAAAGAUAGUGUGGUCAUUUACAAGAGUCAGAAGUUCAAAGGUAAAGAUAGUGUGGUCAUUUACAAGAGUCAGAAGUUCAAAGGUAAAGAUAGUGUGGUCAUUUACAAAGAGUCUUGAAAACCACUAUUACAAUGAAUACUUCAUUUGCGGCGAUACCAAAAUGUAUUUAAAACUUUUGAUUAUAAACUCUAGCAAAGUAAGUAUGUGUCAUUCGACAUCCUUCACGAUCAGUGUGUGACCUACUUUUGUCACUUGCACCAUUUUCAAACGUGUUUAUCUCAAAGUCUGAUACAGAUUUUAAAAAGCAAUAAAUUUUGAAAGUUGACAUUUCCAGCCACUUCCAAGUGAGGUGAACGCAGGAAAUAUUUAUGAUAACAGUAUUUGGUGUGUAAUAUGAAAUGGAAUUUUUAAUUUCGGGAUCUUUAGGGCUGAAC
Molecule: long non-coding RNA, 1767 nt
Organism: Biomphalaria glabrata
Lineage: Eukaryota; Metazoa; Mollusca; Gastropoda; Planorbidae
Exons: 3
Source: RefSeq, a predicted model, not a curated record